This 99-nucleotide ribosomal RNA is filed under the name Bacillus cereus. RNAcentral's name for it is "partial 23S ribosomal RNA". It matches the Rfam family "Bacterial large subunit ribosomal RNA", at positions 2830 to 2925 of the family's 2925-position model. The record is from RNAcentral. Lineage: Bacteria; Bacillati; Bacillota; Bacilli; Caryophanales; Bacillaceae. RNAcentral also lists the same sequence under 5 other names.
AAGAUCCCUGAAAGAUGAUCAGGUUGAUAGGUUCGAGGUGGAAGCAUGGUGACAUGUGGAGCUGACGAAUACUAAUAGAUCGAGGACUUAACCAUAUAA